This 484-nucleotide ribosomal RNA is filed under the name uncultured bacterium. RNAcentral describes it as "partial 16S ribosomal RNA". It matches the Rfam family "Bacterial small subunit ribosomal RNA", at positions 30 to 507 of the family's 1533-position model. The record is from RNAcentral.
AUUGAACGCUGGCGGCAGGCCUAACACAUGCAAGUCGAGCGGAGGAAGGGAGCUUGCUCCUGGAUUCAGCGGCGGACGGGUGAGUAAUGCCUAGGAAUCUGCCUGGUAGUGGGGGAUAACGUCCGGAAACGGGCGCUAAUACCGCAUACGUCCUGAGGGAGAAAGUGGGGGAUCUUCGGACCUCACGCUAUCAGAUGAGCCUAGGUCGGAUUAGCUAGUUGGUGGGGUAAAGGCCUACCAAGGCGACGAUCCGUAACUGGUCUGAGAGGAUGAUCAGUCACACUGGAACUGAGACACGGUCCAGACUCCUACGGGAGGCAGCAGUGGGGAAUAUUGGACAAUGGGCGAAAGCCUGAUCCAGCCAUGCCGCGUGUGUGAAGAAGGUCUUCGGAUUGUAAAGCACUUUAAGUUGGGAGGAAGGGCAGUAAGUUAAUACCUUGCUGUUUUGACGUUACCAACAGAAUAGGCACCGGCUAACUUCGUG